This 443-nucleotide ribosomal RNA is filed under the name uncultured bacterium. Its description in RNAcentral is "partial 16S ribosomal RNA". It matches the Rfam family "Bacterial small subunit ribosomal RNA", at positions 338 to 795 of the family's 1533-position model. The record is from RNAcentral.
CCUACGGGAGGCAGCAGUGGGGAAUAUUGGGCAAUGGGCGCAAGCCUGACCCAGCAACGCCGCGUGAGGGAAGAAGGUUUUCGGGUCGUAAACCUCUGUUGUCAGGGAAGAACCAAGUCUCGGUUCCUGACCAAUAAGUUACCGCUAACUACGAGCCAGCAGCCGCGGUAAUACGUAGGUGGCAAGCGUUUACCGGAUAUACUGCGUGCAAUGGGCGUGUAGGCGGGGCGUCAAGUCAGAUGUGAAAGCCACGGGCUCAACCUGUGGACUGCAUUUGAAACUGGUGGUCUGGAGUUCUGGAGAGGAGAGCGGAAUUCCAAGUGUAGCGGUGAAAUGCGUAGAUAUUUGGAGGAACACCAGUGGCGAAGGCGAUCUGCUGGACAGCAACUGACGCUGAGGCGCGAAAGCGUGGGGAGCAAACAGGAUUAGAUACCCUUGUAGUC